UUGCCUUUUAAAAGAUUCUUUUUUUUGGAAACAACAUUCCCUGAAACAGGACAGAGAACAAGACAGCCUAAAACGGAAUCAAAACCUCCAUAAUCGGGACCACAUUGAGUCGCCCGACCAAAUUAGGUCUCAUAUUGGCUAAGAGGCCCGUAGUAAGACCUGGAUGUUCCCGUAAUUGGAUCAAAUUGGUCCUUCGCAUCAGGCUCACUCAGUCAUCGAUUUAGUCCUUUCGAUUCUGUCGACUCCCAC
This 249-nucleotide long non-coding RNA is filed under the name Physcomitrium patens. RNAcentral describes it as "long non-coding RNA (PPAT_LNC006622)". Lineage: Eukaryota; Viridiplantae; Streptophyta; Bryopsida; Funariales; Funariaceae. The record is from RNAcentral.